UACGUAGGGGGCGAGCGUUGUCCGGAAUUAUUGGGCGUAAAGAGCGUGUAGGCGGUUCGGUAAGUCUGCUGUGAAAUCCUGGGGCUCAACCCUGGGCGUGCAGCGGAUACUGCCGGGCUAGUGGGUGGUAGAGGCGAGUGGAAUUCCGAGUGUAGCGGUGAAAUGCGCAGAUAUUCGGAGGAACACCAGUAGCGAAGGCGGCUCGCUGGGCCACACCUGACACUGAGGCACGAAAGCUAGGGGAGCGAAUGGG
Molecule: ribosomal RNA, 253 nt
Filed under: uncultured bacterium
Lineage: Bacteria
Description: partial 16S ribosomal RNA
Rfam family: Bacterial small subunit ribosomal RNA
Source: RNAcentral